CUCAUCUGAAAGACACUGAGGAUCACAUUAGAUUGCAUGAAAUACUGUGCACAGCUCAGUCAAACCUCUCUAAGCCUUGGCCAGUGAACAUCACUGAGUUGUGAAGAUUAUUCAUUUUAAAGAUCAAAGUGAACAAUUGCUUGAAGAAGCUCCAACUAAGUCCAUUAACAUUCCUUUUCCUGGGAAUCUCUUUUUGUACAAAGCUCAAAAUCCAGCCAAAAUCAUCAUGCAUUCAAGUGAUCAAUGAAUGAGCACUACAUACGGCAAUGAGGUAAAUGUUUGGGAAUGACAAAAACUAGGUAAGUAAGAAAAGGUACACUGCUCUCCUAUUAGCACAUUUCACAUUAGAGAAGGAUUCCAAGCAGCUUAAAAACAGAAAAUUAUGCCACAAUUUUGCAGAAUAAGAAAAAAUCACUGCAUUGCUAAGAGAAGUUUAAGUGUUGCAUGCAAAUCUUCACGACAAUUGAUUCGUAAGUAUGUUUUACUGCUCUGUUGUUGUGUUGUUCUCACUGGCAUUAAUUUGUGUUUUCCCGGGUAACUUAGAAUAAAAAAAUGACUACAGGUAAAAGAUUAGAAGGUAAAGAUUAGAGUUCUUUUUCCAACAUGAAUCCUGCCCUUUAUCAUUUAUGGAUAAGGCGGUGUUGCUCAACAAACAGCAUGGGCAUUAGCAGGUUAAUGAGCACAUACUCAAUGUUUUUGCACACCGUCUGAUGCUUGCUGUACAAAAUGCAAACUGUGAAACAAAAUGUAAUAAUUAGUUUUGUCUAUGUUAUUCUAGAGAACUCAUCACUAUGGUAUCUAAUUUAUUCACAAACAAAUUAAUUUUCACCAUGCUCCUCAGGGACAAGCAGGGCCAAAGUGCUGAAAGUAGUCAGUGUUAU
Molecule: long non-coding RNA, 881 nt
Filed under: Gallus gallus (chicken)
Lineage: Eukaryota; Metazoa; Chordata; Aves; Galliformes; Phasianidae
Source: RNAcentral